Molecule: ribosomal RNA, 1354 nt
Filed under: uncultured fungus
Lineage: Eukaryota; Fungi
Description: eukaryotic LSU rRNA
Rfam family: Eukaryotic large subunit ribosomal RNA (bases 670-1354)
Source: RNAcentral
CUUGGUCAUUUAGAGGAAGUAAAAGUCGUAACAAGGUUUCCGUAGGUGAACCUGCGGAAGGAUCAUUAUUGAAUACGAUUGGUACACUGAUGCUGGCUCUUUACUGGGCAUGUGCUCGUUCCAUCUAUUUAUCUUCUCUUGUGCACAUCUUGUGGUCUUGAAUUGAAACCUCUCGCAUUCGUGCGGUUUGGGAGUGUGAAUAAACUCUGCUCCUGCUUCAUUCAAGAUCAUGUUUUCAUAUACACUAUAAAGUUACAGAAUGUCUUUUAACGAUUGCGCAAGCAGUCAUUAAACCUAUACAACUUUCAGCAACGGAUCUCUUGGCUCUCCUAUCGAUGAAGAACGCAGCGAAAUGCGAUAAGUAAUGUGAAUUGCAGAAUUCAGUGAAUCAUCGAAUCUUUGAACGCACCUUGCGCCCUUUGGUAUUCCGAAGGGCAUGCCUGUUUGAGUGUCAUUAAAUUAUCAACCUUGCUCGCUUUUACUAGCUUGAGUUUGGCUUGGAUGUGAGGGCUUGCUGGCUUCCUUCAGUGGAUGGUCUGCUCCCUUUAAAUGCAUUAGUGGGAUCUCUUGUGGACCGUCACUUGGUGUGAUAAUUAUCUAUGCCUUGGGACUUUGAAGCAAACUAAUGGGAACCUGCUUAUAACCGUCUUCGGACAAUCUCUGACAUUUUGACCUCAAAUCAGGUAGGACUACCCGCUGAACUUAAGCAUAUCAAUAAGCGGAGGAAAAGAAACUAACAAGGAUUCCCCUAGUAACUGCGAGUGAAGCGGGAAAAGCUCAAAUUUAAAAUCUGGCGGUCCUUGUGGCCGUCCGAGUUGUAAUUUAGAGAAGUGUUAUCCGCGCUGGACCGUGUACAAGUCUCCUGGAAUGGAGCGUCAUAGAGGGUGAGAAUCCCGUCUUUGACACGGACUGCCAGGGCAUUGUGAUGCGCUCUCAAAGAGUCGAGUUGUUUGGGAAUGCAGCUCAAAAUGGGUGGUAAAUUCCAUCUAAAGCUAAGUAUUGAGGAGAGACCGAUAGCGAACAAGUACCGUGAGGGAAAGAUGAAAAGAACUUUGGAAAGAGAGUUAAACAGUACGUGAAAUUGCUGAAAGGGAAACGCUUGAAGUCAGUCGCGUUGUUCAGGACUCAGCCUUGCUUUGCUUGGUGUACUUCCUGUUCGACGGGUCAGCAUCAAUUUUGGUCGGUGGAUAAAGGCUUAGAGAAUGUGGCAUCUUCGGAUGUGUUAUAGCUCUGGGUCGCAUACAUCGGCUGGGAUUGAGGAACUCAACACGCCGCAAGGCCGGGUACUUGUACCACGUACGUGUUUAGGAUGCUGGCAUAAUGGCUUUAAUCGACCCGUCUUGAAACACGGACC